Molecule: ribosomal RNA, 359 nt
Filed under: uncultured bacterium
Lineage: Bacteria
Description: partial 16S ribosomal RNA
Rfam family: Bacterial small subunit ribosomal RNA
Source: RNAcentral
CCUACGGGUGGCAGCAGUGAGGAAUAUUGGUCAAUGGGCGCGAGCCUGAACCAGCCAAGUAGCGUGAAGGAUGACUGCCCUACGGGUUGUAAACUUCUUUUAUAAAGGAAUAAAGUGAGGCACGUGUGCCUUUUUGUAUGUACUUUAUGAAUAAGGAUCGGAUAACUCCGUGCCAGCAGCCGCGGUAAUACGGAGGAUACGAGCGUUAUCCGGAUUUAUUGGGUUUAAAGGGAGCGUAGAUGGGUUGGGAAGUCAGUUGAGAGAGUGUGCGGAUUAACCGUAAAAGUGCAGUUGAUACGGGCAGUCUGGAGGACAGUGGAGGUAGGCGGAAUGCGUGGUGACGCAGUGAAAUGCGUAGA